CCUACGGGAGGCUGCAGUGGGGAAUAUUGGACAAUGGGGGGAACCCUGAUCCAGCCAUGCCGCGUGUGUGAAGAAGGCCCUCGGGUUGUAAAGCACUUUCAGUGAGGAAGAACGCCUGGUGGUUAAUACCCAUCAGGAAAGACAUCACUCACAGAAGAAGCACCGGCUAACUCCGUGCCAGCAGCCGCGGUAAUACGGAGGGUGCGAGCGUUAAUCGGAAUUACUGGGCGUAAAGCGCGCGUAGGUGGCUUGAUAAGCCGGUUGUGAAAGCCCCGGGCUCAACCUGGGAACGGCAUCCGGAACUGUCAAGCUAGAGUGCAGGAGAGGAAGGUAGAAUUCCCGGUGUAGCGGUGAAAUGCGUAGAGAUCGGGAGGAAUACCAGUGGCGAAGGCGGCCUUCUGGACUGACACUGACACUGAGGUGCAAAAGCGUGGGUAGCAAACAGGAUUAGAUACCCUAGUAGUC
RNAcentral lists this ribosomal RNA (465 nucleotides) under Vreelandella stevensii. Its description in RNAcentral is "partial 16S ribosomal RNA". It matches the Rfam family "Bacterial small subunit ribosomal RNA", at positions 338 to 795 of the family's 1533-position model. The record is from RNAcentral. Lineage: Bacteria; Pseudomonadati; Pseudomonadota; Gammaproteobacteria; Oceanospirillales; Halomonadaceae.